AGUCCUGUAGCUCAGUGGUUAAAAGCACUCGCCUGGCGAGCGAGAGGUCCUGGGUUCAACUCCCAGGCAGGGCGA
Molecule: non-coding RNA, 75 nt
Organism: Callorhinchus milii (elephant shark)
Lineage: Eukaryota; Metazoa; Chordata; Chondrichthyes; Chimaeriformes; Callorhinchidae
Source: the annotation of a RefSeq genome assembly